UUGUCGAAACCUGCAAAGCAGAACGACCCGCGAACCGUUGCGAAUACCACGGUCGGCGGGACAGAGGGGAGUUGAGGGCCUGUCCCGUGCUCUCCUGCUGACCCGCCGUACGAACAAAACCCCGGCGCGAUAUGCGCCAAGGAAUCGAAAAYGAAAAGAUAGGGAAUGGGCUGCCCGUCGCGUGCCGGGAACGGAAUCCGCACGGGAGGCCCUUUCUCUUUUGGAAACAAAACGACUCUCGGCAACGGAUAUCUCGGCUCUCGCAUCGAUGAAGAACGUAGCGAAAUGCGAUACUUGGUGUGAAUUGCAGAAUCCCGUGAACCAUCGAGUCUUUGAACGCAAGUUGCGCCCGAAGCCUUCGGGCCGAGGGCACGUCUGCCUGGGUGUCAUGCAUCGUCGCCCCCCUAUCCGUCCGAGAAGGAGGGACGGGGCGGGCGGAGAUUGGUCUCCCGUGCGCUCCCGCUCGCGGUUGGCCGAAAUACGAGUUGUUGGCGGCCGAUAGCGCCACGGCAAGCGGUGGUUGUCAAGACCUUCGGAGGAUGCCGUCGGCUAGGCCGUCACAAGGCUUCGGGACCCUGUUUCUAUCCACGGCGACCCCAGGUCAGGCGGGAUCACCCGCUGAG
This 623-nucleotide ribosomal RNA is filed under the name Passiflora foetida. RNAcentral's name for it is "eukaryotic LSU rRNA". Lineage: Eukaryota; Viridiplantae; Streptophyta; Magnoliopsida; Malpighiales; Passifloraceae. The record is from RNAcentral.